Long non-coding RNA from Erinaceus europaeus (western European hedgehog), 3293 nucleotides. RefSeq lists it as uncharacterized. The transcript is spliced from 3 exons. Lineage: Eukaryota; Metazoa; Chordata; Mammalia; Eulipotyphla; Erinaceidae. The record is from RefSeq and is a predicted model, not a curated record.
AGAGGGGAGCUUCGGUGCUGGGCAGCCUGUCUCUGAAUAAAAGUAGGCCUGGAAGCCUCAGUGCUGGCAAUAAUAAUACUAAGUAAGUAAGAAGGAGAAAUGCUAGCAAAUUGAUUGCAAAAGCUAACAAGGAGCGAGUGGACAUCCACUUUCAGGACGUGUAUUAUAUUCCAUUUACUCUUCAGACAAACCUGUGGCACAGAACAGAUUGUAAUCACUUUACAGACUGAAUUCAGCUCUGAAGGGUCUGCAUUCAGCUCUGAAGCUUUGUCAUGUCACCCAGAGUGGCAGGAGCUAUAUAGUCUGUGCCCCAUCCCCAUGGCACCCCUACGAUAGAAGAUUCCAGCGUCUGAAGGCUUUUCUGAUACCAUGAUGAAGCCAAGGGGAAAGGUGGUUGGAAAUAAUUACACAGGGACUUGACUAUCAAACAGAGUAUGCAAGUACCAUCUUUUUUUUUUUUUUUUAAAGAUUUUAUUUACUUAUUAAUGAGAAAGAGAGGAGGAGAGAGAAAAAGAGCCAGACAUCACUCUGGUACAUGUGCUGCUGAGGAUCGAACACAGGACCUCAUGCUUGAGAGUCUAGUUCCUUAGCCACUGCGCCACCUCCCGGACCACGCAAGUACCAUCUUUUAGGUAAAGAGAACAUGCUGGUGGUCUGGGAGGUGGCACAGUGGGUAAAGCACUGACUCUCAAGCAUGAUGUCCUGAGUUCUAUCCCUGGCAGCCCAUGUACCAGUGUGAUGUCUGGUUCAUUCUUUCUCUCCUGUCUUUCUCACUAAUAAAAUAACUAGAAUGUUGGAAAGAAAAGAACAUUCUGGAAUAGACAGGAACAUGGUAGCUAUGUGUUAAGAGCCAGAUCAUCUGGGGACUCAUAGGAUGGUGCUAUUGAGCCAUAGGGAAACAGGACAAGACUUGGGUGUCUGUCCUCUCUAGCCAACUCAGAGGUAUGAAAAAUACAGUCCUCAUGGUACAUAGCUAACAGUUUAAAUGUGUGUCUUACAAGAUUUGUCUGCAGAUUAAUUAAUAGACACAGCCACAAUGUGCAGCAAAUAACAAGAAAGCAAAAAGAGCCAGUGGAAGAGAGACUACAGACAGGGUACUGUCCGCACUUACACAGCCGGUGCUGGCACGCACCUCUGUGAACAAAGAGCGUGUGUUCCAGUGACAUGCUUCUUUGUCAGGGGCUUCACUGCCAGAGGCAUAAAUAACACAGGCAGAACAGGGCGUGUCUCGCUGCCCUACCAACAUCCUCUACUGGACUGUCUGUCAGUCCAUAUGUCUGAAGGGGCUGUUGUCACAGUGCCCCGAUUCUGAGUGUUGCUGGGUGUGUAGACAUCUGGGUGUGAGGAAAGGUAGGCUAUAGAAAGCGUCUAAUCCACAAUGAUGUCUUAUGGAUGGGCUUAUGGAUCUGAAAGUCUGGAAGGAAAAAUUAAGAUGGUGGUAAAGAGUCUGCACUAUGGAUGGAUUUCUUUUACUUCUCUUGAUGUUAAUGUUUGCCCAAUAAGUAAUACAAAUAUUAACUAGUUUUUGGUCUUGGCACUCCUUUGGACCUUAAAACUUCGCAUGUUGGGAGUCGGGCUGUAGUACAGCGGUCUAAGUGCAGGUGGCGCAAAGCACAAAGACCGGCAUAAGGAUCCCGGUUCGAACCCCGGCUCCCCACCUGCAGGGGAGUCGCUUCACAGGCGGUGAAGCAGGUCUGCAGGUGUCUGUCUUUCUCUCCUCCUCUCUGUCUUCCCCUCCCUCUCUCCAUUUCUCUCUGUCCUAUCCAACAACAACAACAACAAUAAAACAACAAGGGCAACAAAAGGGAAAAAAUAAAUAAAAUAAAUAUAAAAAAAAAGUUAAAAAAAAAAAAAAAACUUCGCAUGUUACUGAGAAUGUGUGUGUAUCCCAGUCAGGCCCUGAAGACCACUUUGCGCUGACUGACUAACUUGCAGUUACUUGAAUCUGCUUCCCUCCCCACUGCCUCACACCAGGUUAUUUGCCAAGUCGUGCAAUGACCCAAAUCUUCCACAAACAUUGUGACUUUGGACAAACUGUAAUAAAAAUGAAGACAAAACAGUCCCCUUCAGACUUUGGUAUAACUGAUUUUGAAACUAGCUCAGUAGAAUGGCCACCUUCUCUCUUUCCUAAAGACAACAUAGAAGGCUGGUGCGUUACUCUGCGUAUUGAAUGCUCACACCCUUCCCUCCCUUCCCCUCUCCUUCUCUCCCAACACAGCAACACAGGCAUACACUGGUAAACCUGCCUGUGAGUCUCCACGACGUGCUGUGUGCCUGUUAGCAGUUCGGCAACACAUGGAAGUUGUUUGAAGGAUUCAAACUCUGAACUAGGUGUCCUAGGUCUCUCCUGAGCAUCUGGGGACAUGCAACUGAGCUAGCGUGUUAAACAUCCGAGUAACCCCACAGGGUCCUUCUCCUCCAUCAUUUGUCAGUGUCCCCGCCUGCCGGACUCUCCUACCUCAAAGGGGUUUCCUUGUCAAGAUGGCGCUAAGACUGAUCCGAGAGCCCCACUCCUGCUGAAUGGACUCUACUAACUGCUCAGAGCUUGUUUUUGCCAGCUCCUGCCUGGUCGCAGGCCACUCUGGGGUUCUUGCUGGCAUUUGGUGCCUGCACGACAAAUCAACAGCUCCUGGUGGGCUGGAGAGAAAGCAUAAUGAUUAUGCAGACAGCUUUCACGCCUCAGGCUCUUGCAGUCCCAGGUUCAGUCCCCAGCACCACCUUAAGUCAGAGCUGACCACUAGUCUGGUGUCUCUCUCUCUGUAUCUUUCUUUCUGUAGCUCUUAUUAAAAAUAAGUAAAAUAUAUUGCACCAAAGUAAAAGACUCUGGGGUGGGUGGGGGAGACUAAAGACCCAAAAAGGAUGACAGAGGACCUAGUGGGGUUGUAUUGUUAUGUGGAAAACUGAGAAAUGUUAUGCAUGUACAAACUAUUGUAUUUACUGUCAACUGUAAAACAUUAAUCCCCCAAUAAAGAAAUAAAAAAUAAACAAAAAAUAAGUAAAAUAGGGAGCGGGUGGUAGUGCAGAAGGUUAAGUGCAUGUGGGGUGAAACGCAAGGACCGGCAUAAGGAUCCCAGUUGGAGCCCCUGGCUCCCCACCUGCAGGGGAGUCACUUCACAGGUGGUGAAGCAGGUCUGCAGGUGUCUGUCUUUCUCUCUGCCUUUCUGUAUUCCCCUCCUCUCCAUUUCUCUCUGUCCUAAUAACGACAUCAAUAACAAUAAUAACUACAACAACAAUUAAAAACAAACAAGGGCUACAAAAGGAGGAAUAUAUAUAACCUUAAAAGGGGGGUGUGA